RNAcentral lists this ribosomal RNA (482 nucleotides) under uncultured bacterium. Its description in RNAcentral is "partial 16S ribosomal RNA". It matches the Rfam family "Bacterial small subunit ribosomal RNA", at positions 30 to 507 of the family's 1533-position model. The record is from RNAcentral.
AUUGAACGCUGGCGGCAUGCUUUACACAUGCAAGUCGAACGGUAACAGGCCGCAAGGUGCUGACGAGUGGCGAACGGGUGAGUAAUGCAUCGGAACGUGCCCAGUCGUGGGGGAUAACUACUCGAAAGAGUAGCUAAUACCGCAUACGAUCUAUGGAUGAAAGCGGGGGACCGUAAGGCCUCGCGCGAUUGGAGCGGCCGAUGUCAGAUUAGGUAGUUGGUGGGGUAAAGGCUCACCAAGCCAACGAUCUGUAGCUGGUCUGAGAGGACGACCAGCCACACUGGGACUGAGACACGGCCCAGACUCCUACGGGAGGCAGCAGUGGGGAAUUUUGGACAAUGGGCGCAAGCCUGAUCCAGCAAUGCCGCGUGCAGGAAGAAGGCCUUCGGGUUGUAAACUGCUUCUGUACGGAACGAAACGGCUCUGGUUAAUACCCGGGGCUAAUGACGGUACCGGAAGAAUAAGCACCGGCUAACUACGUG